AGCAGGCGCGUAAAUUGCCCGAAUCCUGACACAGGGAGGUAGUGACAAGAAAUAGCGAUACAGGGCUCUUGAGUCUUGUAAUUGGAAUGAGUACAAUUUACAUCUCUUAACGAUGAUCAAUUGGAGGGCAAGUCUGGUGCCAGCAGCCGCGGUAAUUCCAGCUCCAAUAGCGUAUAUUAAAGUUGUUGCAAUUAGAACGCUCGUAGUCGGAUUUCGGGGCGUUCCGACCGGUCUGCCGAUGGGUAUGCACUGGCCGGAGUGUCCUUUUUGCCGGAGACCGUGCCUACUCUUAACUGAGCGGGGGCGGGAGACGGCACCUUUACUUUGAAGAAUCAGAGUGUUUCAAGCAGGCAGCUCGCUCUUGCAUGGAUUAGCAUGGGAUAAUGAAAUAGGACUUUGGUGCUAUUUUGUUGGUUUCGAACACCGAAGUAAUGAUGAGAAGGGACAGUCAGGGGCACUCGUAUUCCGCAGAGAGAGGUGAAAUUCUCAGACCCGCGGAAGACAAACCACUGCGAAAGCAUUUGCCAGGGAUGUUUUCACUGAUCAAGAACGAAAGUUAGGGGAUCGAAUAUGAUCAGAUACCGUCGUAGUCUUAACCAUAAACCAUGCCGACUAGGGAUUGGAGGAUGUUCACUGAUUGACUCCCUCAGCACCUUACGGGAAACUAAAGUCUUUGGGUUCCGGGGGGAGUAUGGUCGCAAGGCUGAAACUUAAAGGAAUUGACUGAAGGGCACCACCAGGUGUGGAGCGCUGCGGCUUAAUUUGACUCAACACGAGGGAAACUUACCAAGUCCAGACACUGUGAAGGAUUGACAGAUUGAGAGCUCUUUCAUGAUUUAAUGGGUGGUGUGCAUGGCCGUUCUUAGAUGGUGGAGUGAUUUGUCUGGGUUAAUUCCGUUAACGAACGAGACCUUAGCCUGCUAAAUAGUGACACGGAACUCUUUGUUGGCGGCCACUUCAUAAAGGGACAACUUGUCCUACAACGAGUGAAGUAUGAGCAAUAAUCGGUCUGUGAUGCC
RNAcentral lists this ribosomal RNA (1019 nucleotides) under Haptophyta environmental samples. Its description in RNAcentral is "SSU rRNA". It matches the Rfam family "Eukaryotic small subunit ribosomal RNA", at positions 427 to 1471 of the family's 1831-position model. Lineage: Eukaryota; Haptophyta. The record is from RNAcentral.